GGGUGAAAAAAUACCCAUGAUCUUUAUUUGUUCGGAUGGAAAAAAUGUGCAUUUUUUUCACCCAUUAAUGGGUGAAAAAGUAGAUGUAAAAAUUUCAAGUGCUGUCCCGUUUUUUCGCAAGGAGAAUUAAAGCAACGAGUUCCCGCUUAGACGUCUUCGUUAGUGGAAUUCUGGAGCCUAAAGAAACAACUUUUCUACAUUUCUUCCUGAUGCUACCGGGGCAUAAUGGAAAACCGGUAAAAUUAUUCUGGAACCUGGUCUAUAGUUAAAAAACCACACAAAAUGCGGGUCGACUGUUUGACACAAUCUUCCGGAGAUGCCAUCCUGGAUGAGGCCAUCAAGCGCUGUUUGGAUAAAGAAUUAUGAUUUUAACAUAAUUGUGCAUAAUGAUUAUAUUUGGCGAAUAAAAAUGUAUUCUAACCUUA
Armigeres subalbatus is the source of this 425-nucleotide long non-coding RNA. RefSeq lists it as uncharacterized. The record is from RefSeq and is a predicted model, not a curated record. Lineage: Eukaryota; Metazoa; Arthropoda; Insecta; Diptera; Culicidae. The transcript is spliced from 3 exons.